GGAGGAUUAGCUCAGCUGGGAGAGCAACUGACUUGUAAUCAGUAGGUUGGGGGUUCAAGUCCUCUAGCCGGCACCA
Molecule: transfer RNA, 76 nt
Filed under: Bacillus sp. PIC28
Lineage: Bacteria; Bacillati; Bacillota; Bacilli; Caryophanales; Bacillaceae
Description: tRNA-Thr
Rfam family: tRNA
About the family: Transfer RNA (tRNA) molecules are approximately 80 nucleotides in length. Their secondary structure includes four short double-helical elements and three loops (D, anti-codon, and T loops). Further hydrogen bonds mediate the characteristic L-shaped molecular structure. tRNAs have two regions of fundamental functional importance: the anti-codon, which is responsible for specific mRNA codon recognition, and the 3' end, to which the tRNAs corresponding amino acid is attached (by aminoacyl-tRNA synthetases). tRNAs cope with the degeneracy of the genetic code in two manners: having more than one tRNA (with a specific anti-codon) for a particular amino acid; and 'wobble' base-pairing, i.e. permitting non-standard base-pairing at the 3rd anti-codon position.
Source: RNAcentral